RNAcentral lists this ribosomal RNA (481 nucleotides) under uncultured bacterium. RNAcentral describes it as "partial 16S ribosomal RNA". It matches the Rfam family "Bacterial small subunit ribosomal RNA", at positions 28 to 523 of the family's 1533-position model. The record is from RNAcentral.
GACGAACGCUGGCGGCGUGCUUAACACAUGCAAGUCGAACGGUGAAAGGGAGCUUGCUCCCUGGAUCAGUGGCGAACGGGUGAGUAACACGUGGGCAACCUGCCCCAGACUUCGGGAUAACGCUUCGAAAGAGGUGCUAAUACCGGAUACGAACUCCUUGGGCAUCCUUGGAGUUGGAAAGUUUUUCGGUCUGGGAUGGGCCCGCGGCCUAUCAGCUUGUUGGUGAGGUAACGGCUCACCAAGGCGACGACGGGUAGCCGGCCUGAGAGGGCGACCGGCCACACUGGGACUGAGACACAGCCCAGACUCCUACGGGAGGCAGCAGUGGGGAAUAUUGCUCAAUGGGCGAAAGCCUGACGCAGCAACGCCGCGUGAGGGAUGACGGCCUUCGGGUUGUAAACCUCUUUCAGCAGGGAAGAAGCGAAAGUGACGGUACCUGCAGAAGAAGCACCGGCUAACUACGUGCCAGCCGCCGCCGUAA